CUGAUUCAAUAUAGUUUUUAUAACAGUUUAAUUAAGUUUAGUACUUAUGGAAAAUUAUGUACGCUUGAAAAUAGAACAUGUUCCACAUUUGAACACCAUCACUUUGAACACCUAUGUCAACUGUUCUGAAUGUUAACGUCUGGUGUUCUGAAUCUUAACAUUUUGGUUUUUGAACAUGUUCUGUGUGUUCAAAAAGUGUUACAUGGCUGUUGAACGCGUCGACGUAUUAAGAUUUUGAACAUUCGGACACGUUAAAUCGUUGAACACUAAUGUUAAGGUCUCUAACAUCAAGUGUUCAAAAAUGAAACACAAAGGCAUUAAAAACUGAACACCACACAUUCAAUUGAUGAACACUAGUGUAAACAUUUGGAACACCAUUACACGUUCAAAAAGUGUUACAAAAAAGCG
This 408-nucleotide long non-coding RNA is filed under the name Mytilus galloprovincialis (Mediterranean mussel). Lineage: Eukaryota; Metazoa; Mollusca; Bivalvia; Mytilida; Mytilidae. The record is from RNAcentral.